This 460-nucleotide ribosomal RNA is filed under the name uncultured bacterium. RNAcentral describes it as "partial 16S ribosomal RNA". It matches the Rfam family "Bacterial small subunit ribosomal RNA", at positions 338 to 795 of the family's 1533-position model. The record is from RNAcentral.
CCUACGGGCGGCUGCAGUGAGGAAUAUUGGUCAAUGGACGAGAGUCUGAACCAGCGACGUAGCGUGAAGGAUGACUGCCCUAUGGGUUGUAAACUUCUUUUAUAUGGGAAUAAAAUGUACCACGUGUGGGAGUUUGUAUGUACCAUAUGAAUAAGGAUCGGGUAACUCCGUGCCAGCCGCGGCGGUAAUACGGAGGAUCCGAGCGUUAUCUGGAUUUCUGGGGUUUAAAGGGAGCGUAGGUGGAUUGUUAAGUCAGUUGUGAAAGUUUGAGGCUCAACCGUAAAAUUGCAGUUGAUACUGGCAGUCUUGAGUACAGUAGAGGUGGGCGGAAUUCGUGGUGUAGCGGUGAAAUGCUUAGAUAUCACGAAGAACUCCGAUGGCGAAGGCAGCUCACUGGACUGCAACUGACACUGAGGCUCGAAAGUGUGGGUAUCAAACAGGAUUAGAUACCCCUGUAGUC